GAGUUUGAUCUUGGCUCAGGACGAACGCUGGCGGCGUGCUUAACACAUGCAAGUCGAACGGAAAGGCCCUUCGGGGUACUCGAGUGGCGAACGGGUGAGUAACACGUGGGUGAUCUGCCCUGCACUUUGGGAUAAGCCUGGGAAACUGGGUCUAAUACCGAAUAGGACCGCAUGCUUCAUGGUGUGUGGUGGAAAGCUUUUGCGGUGUGGGAUGGGCCCGCGGCCUAUCAGCUUGUUGGUGGGGUAAUGGCCUACCAAGGCGACGACGGGUAGCCGGCCUGAGAGGGUGACCGGCCACACUGGGACUGAGAUACGGCCCAGACUCCUACGGGAGGCAGCAGUGGGGAAUAUUGCACAAUGGGCGCAAGCCUGAUGCAGCGACGCCGCGUGAGGGAUGACGGCCCUCGGGUUGUAAACCUCUUUCAGCAGGGACGAAGCGCAAGUGACGGUACCUGCAGAAGAAGGACCGGCCAACUACGUGCCAGCAGCCGCAGU
This 495-nucleotide ribosomal RNA is filed under the name uncultured Actinomycetes bacterium. Its description in RNAcentral is "bacterial SSU rRNA". It matches the Rfam family "Bacterial small subunit ribosomal RNA", at positions 9 to 521 of the family's 1533-position model. The record is from RNAcentral. Lineage: Bacteria; Bacillati; Actinomycetota; Actinomycetes.